AAAGAGACUAACAAGGAUUUCCUUAGUAACUGCGAGUGAAGAGGGAAGAGCUCAAAUUUAAAAUCUGGCAGUGUUUUGCUGUCCGAGUUGUAAUCUAGAGAAGUGCUGCCCGUGCUGGACCAUGUACAAGUCUCCUGGAAUGGAGCGUCACAGAGGGUGAGAAUCCCGUCUUUGACAUGGACUACCAGUGCAUUUGUGGUGUGCUCUCAAAGAGUCGAGUUGUUUGGGAAUGCAGCUCUAAAUGGGUGGUAAACUCCAUCUAAAGCUAAAUAUUGGCGAGAGACCGAUAGCGAACAAGUACCGUGAGGGAAAGAUGAAAAGAACUUUGGAAAGAGAGUUAAACAGUAUGUGAAAUUGUUGAAAGGGAAACGCUUAAAGUCAGUCGUGUCGGCCAGGGAUCAACUCAGCUUUCUCUGCUGGGUGUACUUCCUGAUCUGAUGGGCCAACAUCAGUUUUGACUGCUGGAGAAGGGCAGAGGGAAUGUGGCACCUUCGGGUGUGUUAUAGCUCUCUGUCAGAUGCAGUGGUUGGGACUGAGGAAAGCAGCAUGCCGCAAGGCCGGGUCGUUUCGACCACGUUCAUUGCUGAGGAUGUUGGCAUAAUGGCUUUAAUCGACCCGUCUUGA
This 624-nucleotide ribosomal RNA is filed under the name Amanita muscaria (fly agaric). RNAcentral's name for it is "LSU rRNA". It matches the Rfam family "Eukaryotic large subunit ribosomal RNA", at positions 58 to 657 of the family's 3401-position model. The record is from RNAcentral. Lineage: Eukaryota; Fungi; Basidiomycota; Agaricomycetes; Agaricales; Amanitaceae.